RNAcentral lists this long non-coding RNA (1417 nucleotides) under Vulpes vulpes (red fox). RNAcentral's name for it is "lncRNA (ENSVVUG00000010377.1)". Lineage: Eukaryota; Metazoa; Chordata; Mammalia; Carnivora; Canidae. The record is from RNAcentral.
CUAAAAUUGAAUCAAUUUCAAGUCAUGAUGAUGUAGGGAUUUGCUUAAUUUACUUUAAACAUGAACCAAUAUUGGAUUAAGACAUUUUUACUCCAUAGCAAGAGUAAUGCUAACAAUAAACUUAGAUAUAUAUAUCUAUUUAUCUUUUUCUUUAAGGUAUUAAUCCUCCUCAGAAAGUUCAUGCUAACCCUGAAGAUGUAGGAGAGGACAGUAUAAUUCUUCAGUGGGAAUCCCCACAAGAUGGCCACGAGGUCUAUAUUCAAAUCAGAUCUGUAUUGGAUACAAGAGAAGUCAUGAAGCUUUUUGUAAAGGAUGCUAAUAGAUUCAAGAUUGAUAAUUUAACCCCUGGAAUGACAUAUGACAUUGGAAUGGCAAUAGUGAUGAAUGGGAACUUGAGUGAGCUGGUAACUAUUCAACAAACUCUAAUACUGGCUCUGGGUAAACUGGAGGAAUCACAUUAUCAAAUACAGUGUCAUUGACUUAGAACAAGUUUCAUUACAUCAAACCAGAUGUCACAAAGAAAACUGAAAAGCAAACUAUGUCUAAUUAUUCUUUGGAGGAAAAAAUAUUUCUUCAGAAUGUCUGUCUUAGAAGAAGAUACCUCCUUGGAAGAAAGACAGAUCUAAGGAUAUGCUGGGUAGUAUUUCAAUAACCCACAAAUGAAAUUGAAAUUAAAAUUGACCUGAGGAAAAAAAUAAUGUGAAUAGAAGUCAUCUAAAAUUUCAAAUCUGCUCUAAAUAGUACAGUGGAGAAUUGCAGUACAAGAAAGCUCUCACGUAGAGGUCAGCGAGAGUGUGAAAUAGCCCAAGCCAGUCCAGAUUGUCAUCCCAUAUGAAAGUCAUAGCACCUCUGUAAUCUUAUUUGUUCAAAUGCCUGAUAUUGGAGUGUUUGAUGGCAUACAUAUUGCAAUCGAAGGAGGGCCAAAUGUAACUAAGCCCUUGAAACAUGACAAUAAAAUAACUGUUGGCAAUUUAACCCCAGGCACGGAGUAUAAUUUCUUUGUUUCCAUCACCAGUGGGACUAAAUUAAGUAAUACGUAUUACGUGCAUGCAGUAAAAACAUGUCCAGAAGGUAGUUCGAGAAGCAGCAACAUUCUCUAACCUGGAUCCUGCCACAGUGUACACUUUCUCAAUUCGCACUGAAAAAGAAGGUUUUAAAGACAGCACUCCUCAUAUAAAAGAAAUACAGACAGGUACAGCCUGUGUAAUAAGCACUUUAGGGUAUUAUUCAGCGUUCAAGUAUUUAUUUCAUUCUUUAGGGAAGAUUUUUUUUUUUCUUUAGGGAAGAUUUGGUAAAUAGUUUAUUCUUCCCAGAUUUUCUUUAGGGGCAGGCAGUGUCUUCUCUUGUCUCUUUUUUCUGUUUCCCCUUAUCUGGGUUAGAAUAACCUCUUUUGUACAUGCCUUGCCAGGCAGUAGAG